UCAGUCGACGGCAAAAAUCUUCACACAUGAUCUCUACGCCCAUCAUUUUUAUCUCUGAAGGGCCAAAGGGAUUUGACAGCAGAUUCACUACAUGUUAAGGAGUAAGGAAAUCAAGGCUAUGGUCGAUUAUUUGGUAUUUAAAAAACGUGUCAACUUUUGGUGAGCGGAUGAGGUAAGUACGUAACUUCUUCGUGGGUUCUAAAUACUCUUGCUAAUUUAAGAUUUUGCACGUUGGACUCAAAAUUUCUGUUUACGUGCAUCUUUUAUGCUAUUUUGGAUAUGCCUAUGGGGAACUGUACAAAUUUUGUGAAUCGUACAUGCUGGUCAUACCUCAAAUAUUCCUAUAUGAUUUCAUGGAAAUUUAUUUUGUGAGUGAAGUGAUUAUCUGUG
Long non-coding RNA from Juglans microcarpa x Juglans regia, 390 nucleotides. RefSeq lists it as uncharacterized. The record is from RefSeq and is a predicted model, not a curated record. NCBI's taxonomy places the organism in Eukaryota, Viridiplantae, Streptophyta, Magnoliopsida, Fagales, Juglandaceae. The transcript is spliced from 2 exons.